GCUAAUUGCUGCUUUGUACUGUGUUUCACGUAGUUUCAUUUUGCUCCCUCUCCCUUCUUCUUUAAAGCGUAAGCAUCUUCGGUAUAUGGAUAUAACUUCAAUCGGCUCUUUAUUUCAAAGCAUGAGAGUGUAUGUGAAUAUAUAUGUGAUCAUCCAUGUGCAUACUUCUUCAUGCGUAAGAGGUACUGAAUUUUUUUUCUUCUGCAGGUGUCAAGCUGGUUUAAAUUGUUACAUCAGCUGUGAAUUUUACACAGUGCCCAGACUGAGAAAAACCGGAGCGGGAGCGUGUGCUAUCAUCACUGGAAGGACAGACAAGUAAAAGUAAUUGCUUCAGGAUGUCUUAUAAGGCAAAUCCGUUGUAUGACAUGUAUUUUUAUACCUUCUAAACGCAAGGGCACCUGUUUAACAAUCUGGCAAGGCAGGAUCCUGGAAGCCUUGGGAACCUGGACAGCUGGAACUGAGACACCAGAGGCUGUCAUUUGUACUCUCUUAAAGAAAAUCAUCUGCGAGGGAAUUUCUGCACAGGCCCGGUAG
RNAcentral lists this long non-coding RNA (534 nucleotides) under Struthio camelus australis. Its description in RNAcentral is "lncRNA (ENSSCUG00000002750.1)". Lineage: Eukaryota; Metazoa; Chordata; Aves; Struthioniformes; Struthionidae. The record is from RNAcentral.